CCCAAGUCCAAACACUCCUUUUCAUUAGAAGGAGAAAAGGGUAACAGCACCCUCUUUCUUUCUUUCCCUCUACUCUCGGCUUUCCCUCUUCCGAGAAAAUUUUUGCUAGAUUUUCUUUCCAAUUUUUCUCUGUUUCCUACGCGUGAAAGCGAUUACUCAAACAGGCGCAUCUCCGUAAAUAUUCACUCCUGUUUUCUUUUCUCUUCCUCUUUCGAAUCGCUUUCUCAUUAUCUGUGAUGGAUUUGUUUAAUUUUCAUAAAGUCAAAACUGAGAAAACAGGCUCUAUACUGUGGAACAAUCACCUUCCAAGUUUAACAAAGCUGUUUCGAUUAAUUGAGUUUUGCCUUGCUAUGGUGUUUCUCUCAUGGAUUUUCAAUCGGCUUCCAUUUGCCAUCAGAAUUUCUGGCGAGUUCUUCAUGAGAAUCGCUGGAGUAAUCGCCAGUCCAAUCUUCGUUUUCUUGCUCUGCAAUGCUAUCAUUGCUACUCUCAUCGUCAAAUCUGGCAGAUUCUCCGGCGAGAAUCCCUCCACAGACAAUGCUGAGACUGAGCUUUACGAGGAGCUGUUAAAAAACAACGAAAAUGGUUGUUCCAAGUCAUUGUCAGAGAAUCCUUCCACUCCUUCGCAUCCUCCAUUUCACGCAACCAAGGAGAUUGAGUACCAGGACAAAGAGAUUAUCUCUCAAGUUAAUGUUAUCACUCAAACAGGCAAAAAUAACGAUGGUGCUGUUGAAAUGGACUUGUACUCAUUUUCUGAUUCAGACUCAGAUACGGAUUCUGACAAUCCGAGAGUUUAUCGGAGGUCGAAAUCGGAGAAGCUAGAGAAGAAGUGCUCUGAGAAGGCGAAAGCGAAGAAGCUGCAACGAUGGGAGACAGAGAAGCGCAUGAAUGCUGUGAAGUCCACCAGCGGCGAGGGUUUAUGUCCAGAGGAUGAAUUGAGUGGCGAGGAAUUUCAGCGCGCCGUAGACGAGUUCAUUGCCAAGCAUUUGAGGUUUCGUCGCCAAGAGUCUUUGGCUGUUGUUCCUCAAAACCAGAGCUCAAUCGCCUAAAUUGAGAAAAAAUGAAAAUUUAUAAUUAAAAUUAAAAACCGGAUUUCCGUUUUCCUUUUUCCCAUCUUUUGUACAGGUAAUUUCUCAAGAAGGUGGGGAGCAGUGCUGAAACUGGGCUUCUGGUUUUUCCAGAUCUGAUGAGUAUAAUGAAAAUUAAGUGGGUCCAUGUUAUAUUAAACGUGGAAGAUCAGAGCUGUGUGUUUUGUGAUAAAUCAUGUGCGAGCUUUGCUUGUGAUUUGCCUUUGGUGAAUAGAUAAAAAGAUUCUGAAAUUCCCCAAGCAAUACUUAUCUGGUUGGUCGUGACAUAGUGGAAAUGGCAAUAUAGGAUUGC
This 1377-nucleotide unclassified non-coding RNA is filed under the name Hevea brasiliensis (rubber tree). The record is from RNAcentral. Lineage: Eukaryota; Viridiplantae; Streptophyta; Magnoliopsida; Malpighiales; Euphorbiaceae.